ACUAAAGGAGGUAUGUUGUAAGUGUUGUGAGAGAUUAAAGGUAAACCCUACAUGGUAAAAAAUCACUCAAACAUUGGAUCAAAAAGAUGCCAGAUGGCCCAGGACAACAUCUUCCAGAGAGAUGCUGGAGCUGGGAAGGCAGCCUGAUCUGCUCCCUGUGUAGCAAUGACCACAGCAAAGAAAAGGAUGAAGACAUAAUGUAGAACAAGCCAAGAGUGAUGAAAUGAAACCUGACACAUAACAUUCUACAAGAGAACAAGGUGUUUAGGGGACCAAUAUCCACCUAAUUUGUAUGAUUCAAGGGAUCUACCAACAAUCACUCUUAGUAUUCAUAAAGCUGGUCCUCUUCUGGAGAUCUCCAAGGAGAAUAAGCCAGAAUAUUGUUACUUGGUUUUAGCAGGGAAAAUCGUUAUUCUUGGACAGGUGAAAUGCACUUGUAUCAC
This is a long non-coding RNA of Passer domesticus (house sparrow), 443 nucleotides long. RefSeq lists it as uncharacterized. The transcript is spliced from 3 exons. Lineage: Eukaryota; Metazoa; Chordata; Aves; Passeriformes; Passeridae. The record is from RefSeq and is a predicted model, not a curated record.